Juglans microcarpa x Juglans regia is the source of this 2692-nucleotide RNA transcript. It is a transcript of the gene named cullin-1, with no coding region annotated. The transcript is spliced from 20 exons. The record is from RefSeq and is a predicted model, not a curated record. Lineage: Eukaryota; Viridiplantae; Streptophyta; Magnoliopsida; Fagales; Juglandaceae.
ACACUAGUGUUUUUUUUGCAGGUUAUUAUAGUUUGUGGCGUGAGGGUAUCUUUAAGCAGCAUUUACUACAAAUUACAAUGGAGCGCAAGAUUAUUGAUUUGGACCAAGGUUGGGCGUACAUGCUGAAGGGGAUCACAAAACUGAAGAGGAUUCUUGAAGGGUUGCCGGAGGAUCCAUUCAGCUCCGAGGACUACAUAGUCCUCUACACAACUAUCUACAACAUGUGUACCCAGAAGCCCCCGCACGAUUACUCUCAACAGCUUUAUGACAUGUACCGUGAGGUGUUUGAUGAAUAUAUUGCUUCCAUGGUCUUGCCCUCUCUAAAGGAAAAGCAUGAUGAAUUUAUGCUGAGUGAGCUUGUGCAAAGAUGGUUAAACCACAAGGUUAUGGUGAGGUGGCAGUCACGCUUCUUCCAUUAUCUUGAUCGAUAUUUCGUUGCAAGGAGGUCACUUCCCGCUCUUUAUGAAGUUGGACUAGCCUGCUUCCGUGACCUGGUUUACCAAGAGGUAAAGGCUAAUGCCAGAGAUGCUGUAAUUUCUCUUAUUGAUAAAGAACGUGAAGGAGAGCAGAUUGACAGAGCAUUGCUGAAGAAUGUUAUAGAUAUAUUUGUCGCAAUAGGAAUGGGACAAAUGGAGCUUUAUGAACAAGAUUUUGAAGUGCAUAUGCUUCAAGACUCUGGUGCUUACUAUUCUCGUAAAGCAUCAAGUUGGAUAUCCGAUGAUUCUUGUCCGGAUUAUAUGUUGAAGGCUGAGGAGUGCUUGAAAAGGGAGAGAGACAGAGUUUCUCAUUAUUUGCAUAUAAGCAGUGAGCAGAAGUUGGUGGAGAAAGUGCAACAUGAGCUGUUGGUGGUGUAUGAAACGCAACUGCUUGAAAAGGAGUAUUCUGGAUGUCGUGCUUUGCUGAGAGAUGAUAAGGUGGAGGAUCUUUCUAGAAUGUAUAGACUUUACCAUAAAAUACCUAAGGGCUUGGAUCCUGUUUCUACUAUUUUCAAGCAGCAUGUUACUGCUGAAGGUAUGGCCCUGGUCCAACAGGCUGAGGAUCUUGCGAGUAGUCAGACUGCAAAUGGGGGGGUUGGUGUGCAGGAACUGGUUCUUGUCAGGAAAAUAAUUGAGCUGCAUGACAAGUAUAUGGCAUAUGUGAACGAUUGCUUUCUUAAUCACAGUCUGUUUCACAAGGCUCUAAAAGAGGCUUUUGAGGUAUUUUGCAACAAAGCUGUUUUGGGCAGUUCAAGUGCAGAACUGCUGGCUACAUUCUGUGAUAAUAUCCUCAAGAAGGGAGGGAGUGAGAAGUUGAGUGAUGAAGCCAUAGAAGAAACACUCGAGAAGGUAGUUAAGUUGCUCGCAUAUAUUAGCGACAAAGACCUCUUUGCGGAAUUUUACCGGAAAAAGCUUGCUCGUCGGCUCCUUUUUGAUCGGAGUGCUAAUGAAGACCAUGAAAAGAGUAUUCUAACUAAGCUGAAGCAGCAGUGUGGCGCGCAAUUCACAUCAAAGAUGGAAGGCAUGGUCACAGAUUUGACACUGGCACGGGAAAAUCAGAAUAGCUUUGAGGAAUAUCUUCAUAAUAACGCAAAUGUAAAUCCUGGGCUUGAUUUGACAGUUACUGUUCUAACUACUGGGUUUUGGCCAAGUUAUAAAUCUUGUGAUCUUAGCCUCCCACAGGAAAUGGUAAGGUGUGUGGAAGUCUUCAAGGAAUUUUAUGAAACAAAAACAAAACACAGAAAACUUACAUGGAUUUACUCAUUGGGAAGUUGCAACGUCAUUGGAAAGUUUGAUUCAAAAACCAUUGAACUGAUUGUGUCAACCUAUCAGGCUGCUGCCCUCUUGCUUUUUAAUAAUGCUGAUAGAUUGAGCUAUUCAGAAAUUAUGACCCAGUUGAACUUGACCCAUGACGACUUAAUUAGAUUGCUCCAUUCUCUAUCAUGUGCAAAGUAUAAAAUCCUGAAUAAGGAACCCAACACAAAGACUAUCUUGCCAACGGACAACUUUGAAUUUAACUCCAAGUUCACGGACAGAAUGAGGAGGAUUAAGGUACCUCUACCACCAGUGGAUGAAAGGAAGAGGGUAAUUGAAGAUGUUGACAAGGACAGGCGAUAUGCUAUUGAUGCUGCACUUGUCCGCAUUAUGAAAAGUCGGAAAGUUUUGGGUCACCAACAGUUGGUUAUGGAGUGUGUUGAGCAGUUGGGCCGAAUGUUUAAGCCCGAUAUCAAAGCAAUAAAGAAGAGAAUGGAAGAUUUAAUCACCCGCGACUAUCUUGAGAGAGACAAGGACAAUCAAAACAUCUUUAAGUACUUGGCAUGACUGCUACUACCGUCUGUUGGACAUUGCAAACUGGAGCUGCUGAUGUUUAAAGCACAGUGGUAGUCUUGGGGCUUAGACAUGAACUUGUAAUGUUCUGGAAAGGAGUAGGGUCAGCAAUAUAUACACUCAUCGCAAUUUCUACCAAAUUUGAGGUGAUGGGACAUUCAAAUGAAAGCUGUGGAGAUUUCAUGUUCUUGACGCUGUGGCAAGUCACGCAUCAUGUUGGAUUUAAGCGAGAUCUAGAGAGAUUGGAGUCUGAGACACCCUGACGGGAAUUUUGUGGCCCUGAGCAUGUUGAACUUUGAUAUGUAACAAAAAUCAAAAUACCGGCAUUGUUAUUCCUCCACAUGCAAAACCCAUCACUCUUUUCCUAAACAAAACCCUACUUCCAUGGU